GACGAACGCUGGCGGCGUGCUUAACACAUGCAAGUCGAACGGAAAGGCCCUGCUUUUGUGGGGUGCUCGAAUGGCGAAAGGGUGAGUAACACGUGAGUAACCUGCCCUUGACUUUGGGAUAACUUCAGGAAACUGGGGCUAAUACCGGAUAGGAGCUCCUGCUGCAUGGUGGGGGUUGGAAAGUUUCGGCGGUUGGGGAUGGACUCGCGGCUUAUCAGCUUGUUGGUGGGGUAGUGGCUUACCAAGGCUUUGACGGGUAGCCGGCCUGAGAGGGUGACCGGCCACAUUGGGACUGAGAUACGGCCCAGACUCCUACGGGAGGCAGCAGUGGGGAAUAUUGCGCAAUGGGCGGAAGCCUGAUGCAGCAACGCCGCGUGCGGGAUGACGGCCUUCGGGUUGUAAACCGCUUUCGCCUGUGACGAAGCGUGAGUGACGGUAAUGGGUAAAGAAGCACCGGCUAACUACGUG
RNAcentral lists this ribosomal RNA (468 nucleotides) under uncultured bacterium. RNAcentral's name for it is "partial 16S ribosomal RNA". It matches the Rfam family "Bacterial small subunit ribosomal RNA", at positions 28 to 507 of the family's 1533-position model. The record is from RNAcentral.